RNAcentral lists this transfer RNA (74 nucleotides) under Spirochaetes bacterium GWF1_51_8. Its description in RNAcentral is "tRNA-Met". It matches the Rfam family "tRNA". From Rfam's summary of the family: Transfer RNA (tRNA) molecules are approximately 80 nucleotides in length. Their secondary structure includes four short double-helical elements and three loops (D, anti-codon, and T loops). Further hydrogen bonds mediate the characteristic L-shaped molecular structure. tRNAs have two regions of fundamental functional importance: the anti-codon, which is responsible for specific mRNA codon recognition, and the 3' end, to which the tRNAs corresponding amino acid is attached (by aminoacyl-tRNA synthetases). tRNAs cope with the degeneracy of the genetic code in two manners: having more than one tRNA (with a specific anti-codon) for a particular amino acid; and 'wobble' base-pairing, i.e. permitting non-standard base-pairing at the 3rd anti-codon position. Lineage: Bacteria; Pseudomonadati; Spirochaetota. The record is from RNAcentral.
CGCGGGAUGGAGCAGUCUGGUAGCUCGUCGGGCUCAUAACCCGAAGGUCAGGGGUUCAAAUCCUCUUCCCGCAA